GAGUUUGAUCUUGGCUCAGAAUGAACGCUGGCGGCAUGCCUAACACAUGCAAGUCGAACGAAGGCUUCGGCCUUAGUGGCGCACGGGUGCGUAACGCGUGGGAAUCUGCCCCUUGGUUCGGAAUAACAGUUGGAAACGACUGCUAAUACCGGAUGAUGACGUAAGUCCAAAGAUUUAUCACCGAGGGAUGAGCCCGCGUAGGAUUAGCUAGUUGGUGUGGUAAAAGCGCACCAAGGCGACGAUCCUUAGCUGGCCUGAGAGGAUGAUCAGCCACACUGGGACUGAGACACGGCCCAGACUCCUACGGGAGGCAGCAGUGGGGAAUAUUGGACAAUGGGCGAAAGCCUGAUCCAGCAAUGCCGCGUGAGUGAUGAAGGCCUUAGGGUUGUAAAGCUCUUUUACCCGGGAUGAUAAUGACAGUACCGGAGAAUAAGCUCCGGCUAACUCCGUGCCAGCAGCCGCCGCGGUAAU
RNAcentral lists this ribosomal RNA (471 nucleotides) under uncultured bacterium. RNAcentral describes it as "bacterial SSU rRNA". It matches the Rfam family "Bacterial small subunit ribosomal RNA", at positions 9 to 524 of the family's 1533-position model. The record is from RNAcentral.